This 431-nucleotide ribosomal RNA is filed under the name uncultured bacterium. Its description in RNAcentral is "partial 16S ribosomal RNA". It matches the Rfam family "Bacterial small subunit ribosomal RNA", at positions 29 to 505 of the family's 1533-position model. The record is from RNAcentral.
AACGAACGCUGGCGGCAUGCCUAACACAUGCAAGUCGAACGAGACCUUCGGGUCUAGUGGCGCACGGGUGCGUAACGCGUGGGAACCUGCCCUUAGGUUCGGAAUAACUCCCCGAAAGGGGUGCUAAUACCGGAUAAUGUCUUCGGACCAAAGAUUUAUCGCCUUUGGAUGGGCCCGCGUUGGAUUAGCUAGUUGGUAGGGUAAAAGCCUACCAAGGCGACGAUCCAUAGCUGGUCUGAGAGGAUGAUCAGCCACACUGGGACUGAGACACGGCCCAGACUCCUACGGGGGGGAGGAGGGGGGAAAUGGGGACAAGGGGGGAAACCCUGACCCAGCAAUGCCGGGGGGGUGAUGAAGGCCUUAGGGUUGAAAAGCUCUUUUACCCGGGAUUAUAAGGACGGUACCGGGAAAAAAAGCCCCGGCUAACCCCG